GAUGAACGCUAGCGGUAUGCUUAACACAUGCAAGUCGUACGGGAGUUUUUAACUCAAGUGGCGGACGGGUGAGUAACACGUGAGAAUUUACCUUUAGGAGGGGGAUAACAAUUGGAAACGAUUGCUAAUACCCCCAUAUGCUUUUUUAAGUGAAACGGAUUUAUUCGCCUAAAGAAAGCUCGCGGCUGAUUAGCUAGUUGGUAAGGUAAUGGCUUACCAAGGCGACGAUCAGUAUCUGGUUUGAGAGGAUGAUCAGACACACUGGAACUGAGACACGGUCCAGACUCCUACGGGAGGCAGCAGUGGGGAAUUUUCCGCAAUGGGCGAAAGCCUGACGGAGCAAUACCGCGUGAGGGAAGAAAGCCUACUGGGUUGUAAACCUCUUUUUUUCAGGGAGGAAAAAAAUGACGUGUACCUGAAGAAUAAGACAUCGGCUAACUCCGUGCCAGCAGCCGCGGUAAUG
Molecule: ribosomal RNA, 463 nt
Filed under: uncultured bacterium
Lineage: Bacteria
Description: partial 16S ribosomal RNA
Rfam family: Bacterial small subunit ribosomal RNA
Source: RNAcentral